GAUGAAGAACGUAGCGAAAUGCGAUACGUAAUGUGAAUUGCAGAAUUCAGUGAAUCAUCGAGUCUUUGAACGCACAUUGCGCCCCCUGGUAUUCCGGGGGGCAUGCCUGUCCGAGCGUCAUUGCUGCCCUCAAGCACGGCUUGUGUGUUGGGCCUCCGUCCUCCUCCCGGGGGACGGGCCCGAAAGGCAGCGGCGGCACCGCGUCCGGUCCUCGAGCGUAUGGGGCUUCGUCACCCGCUCUUGUAGGCCCGGCCGGCGCUUCCCGACACAUCAAUCUUUUUUCCAGGUUGACCUCGGAUCAGGUAGGGAUACCCGCUGAACUUAAGCAUAUCAAUAAGCGGAGGA
RNAcentral lists this unclassified non-coding RNA (345 nucleotides) under soil metagenome. Its description in RNAcentral is "partial contains 5.8S ribosomal RNA, internal transcribed spacer 2, and large subunit ribosomal RNA". The stretch from base 1 to 120 matches the Rfam family "5.8S ribosomal RNA", at positions 35 to 154 of the family's 154-position model. The record is from RNAcentral.